RNAcentral lists this ribosomal RNA (250 nucleotides) under uncultured bacterium. RNAcentral describes it as "partial 16S ribosomal RNA". It matches the Rfam family "Bacterial small subunit ribosomal RNA", at positions 524 to 773 of the family's 1533-position model. The record is from RNAcentral.
UACGAAGGGGGCUAGCGUUGCUCGGAAUUACUGGGCGUAAAGGGCGCGUAGGCGGAUCGUUAAGUCAGAGGUGAAAUCCCGGAGCUCAACUUCGGAACUGCCUUUGAUACUGGCGAUCUUGAGUGUGAGAGAGGUAUGUGGAACUCCGAGUGUAGAGGUGAAAUUCGUAGAUAUUCGGAAGAACACCAGUGGCGAAGGCGACAUACUGGCUCAUUACUGACGCUGAGGCGCGAAAGCGUGGGGAGCAAAC